RNAcentral lists this ribosomal RNA (253 nucleotides) under uncultured bacterium. RNAcentral's name for it is "partial 16S ribosomal RNA". It matches the Rfam family "Bacterial small subunit ribosomal RNA", at positions 524 to 776 of the family's 1533-position model. The record is from RNAcentral.
UACGUAGGGGGCAAGCGUUGUCCGGAUUUAUUGGGCGUAAAGAGCGUGUAGGCGGCCUGAAAGGUCAGCUGUGAAAACUCGAGGCUCAACCUCGAGACGUCGGUUGAAACCAUCUGGCUAGAGUCCGGAAGAGGAGUGUGGAAUUCCCGGUGUAGCGGUGAAAUGCGCAGAUAUCAGGAGGAACACCGGUGGCGAAGGCGGGUCUCUGGGCCGAAACUGACGCUGAGGAGCGAAAGCGUGGGGAGCGAACAGG